UUAAAAAAGAAAAAAGAAAAGGAAGAAAAGAAAAACUAAGACAGGAAGAGGCAUUGUAGAUUGUUUGUACAGUUUUUUUUUUUCCCUUUUUUCCAUGUGAUAAACAGUUUGUUUUUUCAAUUCAAUUUGCAAUAGAGGUCAUCAUCGACACUGUUAUUUCUCUUGUUUACACACGCUCUCUCCUUCUUCAUUUCCAGAUCCAAACGGACGAAUCAGCAACUGAUCCAUUACCAGAUCGUUCAAUUGCUUCUUCCCCGGAUCUCCAAAUUCUCAGCUUCAGCUCUCAUUUGUGGAGCUGACCACUAAUCAAACUUGUAAACAGUUAAAAGAAGACAGCACUCCUGGAUCUGAUCGAGCUUUCCCGUAGUUUCAAAACGGAACCAAUCAUGAAUCCCUUCUCCUCCGGCACGCGUCUCAGGUUAGUACAAUCCAAGUUCGUCAAUUUUCUGCUAUGUUUUUGUCAUUGUGCUUUAAUUGCAUAGCUUUGUCGAAAUCACUAACGGCAUUUCUGUCGUAUUGUCGAUAAUGGUUUGGUCCGCAUCCUUGGGUUAAUGUGAUUAAUGUCUCAUUUAUUUAAGGGCUAUAUUCAAGUAAUGUGUUUACUUGGUUGCAAGGGAUUUAAGCUUUCCUAAUUAUAUUAUCACUUUUGGAAGUGAAUGUAAACCUUUGUUUAUUUGUUGAAUUUCUUCUCUAUUAAAUUGCCCAUGGGGUUUCUUGGUUUAGUGCUGUGCCGAAAUGCAGAAUUAUCUCAAAAAUGGUUGGGGUUUCUUGGUUUAGUGCUGUGCCGAAAUGCAGAAUCAUCUCAAAAAUGGUUGGGGUUGCAUAGUUUAAGCUAUGGAACUGUGUUGGUUCAUGAAUUCAGUUAUGUGGAAGAGGGGACGGUUGGAACUAUGAUCGAGCAGAAUGAAAAUACUCGUGGUUAUUACCAUAGUAUUGUGCAAGUGUAAUGUGAUAGGGUCCCUUGAAUGCAGUAUUUUAGUGAUUAGUACCAUUAGUUGCCCUUAAUUCUUCUGAUUGGAUAGUUGGAAUCUUAGUUUUAUGUCUUUUACCACCCCAAAGAUUAACCCUUAAAACUAA
Molecule: long non-coding RNA, 1077 nt
Filed under: Nicotiana benthamiana
Lineage: Eukaryota; Viridiplantae; Streptophyta; Magnoliopsida; Solanales; Solanaceae
Description: long non-coding RNA (NBEN_LNC003003)
Source: RNAcentral